Molecule: long non-coding RNA, 1157 nt
Organism: Mobula hypostoma (lesser devil ray)
Lineage: Eukaryota; Metazoa; Chordata; Chondrichthyes; Myliobatiformes; Myliobatidae
Exons: 5
Source: RefSeq, a predicted model, not a curated record
CCAGUCUCCACCCCACGCCCCCCGCCUUAGAUUACAUCUGCACUUGUUGGGAGACCGCCGGACGUGGAGCGAGAGUCCGAAGGGCAGCGACGAUCGGAGGAAGUCGCAGUUGAACGAUCGACUUAUCAAGACGCGCGUACCUUCAUCAGCCAGGGUUUCAAGGUGUGGUCCAGCAGGAUGUCAAAGCCGAGGAGCUGAAAGCAAGCACUCCCAGACCCGUGAUUUGGGAAGCAGGUGAGAUCCAUGGUUCUUGCUGGACACGAAAUACCAGAUUGGGACGAUCCCAACUAGCCGGACAUCCUAACAGAUAUUCCAAUCCAGACCACAAUUCAGGUCAGAUCAGGUUCAUUUACUUAUCGGAGGUGCACCGAAACAGACAGUGAAACAUGCCACUUUGUUAACAGACAACACAACCAAAGUGUGCUGGGGGGCAGCACAUUCCGGUGACAACGUAGCAUGCCCACCAUGUUCAGCAGAGCAACACAAGCAACAAAACACGGCAAAUUUGGAGUAUCCUGCGCAGUUUCGGUCGCCUACAAACGUACAGGAAAGUCAUAAAAUAACCCAAUUGCAGAGGAGAAGAUGACGGCGUGACACAGCGUGCAGCGGCCACUCCGGUGAUGAAUGUCUGUUAUCUGUCAAGUAGGGUGCCGUGCACAUUUCUGAUUUGAUGGAGGCAGACGUGAGAGCACGGAGGAACAUCUGGUGAAACUUCUGAAAUGCCUGUUACACUGCCUCUGCUUCUGUGUGAUCCGAAAUCUCCGGAGGGGAAGGCCCCGAAUCCUCGGCUUUGCUCGUUGCUUGGCGGGCGGGGCGGGGUCGAAGCGCUCGGCAGAGAUGGUGCUCGGUGUCAGAGGGCUGGUCAGAGGCUCGAAGUUUUCGGACGGACUCAGAGUCGGCUGUGGUCGGGUGCUUCCAGGAUGCUGCAUCGGCAAGUUUGCAACGCUGGAGGCUCAUGGUAGGGAGAGUCUCUCCCUUCUACUGUCUGCGUGAGAUGUUGGGGCUAUCGGGACUUUGAGACUUUUUUUUAACCGUGCCCAUGGUCUGCUCUUUAUCAAAUUACGGUAUUCCUUUGCACUGUUGUAACUUUAUGUUAUAAUUAUGUGGUUUGUGUCCCUUUUAGUCUUGGUCUGUCCUGUGUUUCUGUGAUAUUAUAC